This 979-nucleotide long non-coding RNA is filed under the name Anas platyrhynchos platyrhynchos (common mallard). Its description in RNAcentral is "lncRNA (ENSAPLG00000025108.1)". The record is from RNAcentral. Lineage: Eukaryota; Metazoa; Chordata; Aves; Anseriformes; Anatidae.
CUUCCACUAUUUUGUCCCACUCCCACUUGUUUUUUUUUCAUGCUUUUAAAACUCCCUUGUAAAUGAUGUAAAUGAUGACCCUGAGUGAUGUCAUGAUGGACACAAAAUGCUUUGAUCUGUCCUGAAUGAGUCUAAGCCCUUCAGUGAUUAAUUUUGAAACUUUGCAGGACUUGUGUUCAUUCAAUUCAGGGGGCUAUAAAUGGUGAGGUAGAACAUGUGUCCUGUGCAAAAGGGCGGCUCCAGCCCUCCAUCACAUACAUCCUUCAGUGUCCUGAGCCAAAACUCCUCCCCUGUAGUGCAGGUGUUUUGAAUAAGUUGUAAUUCUUGCUGUUCCCCUCAGCCUGGUGGCAGACUUAUCCUAAUGAAGAUGUGCUGUGUGUCAUUCACAGAGCUGUUGGGCUAGCUCGGGAUAAAAUUUUAAGUGGAAGGAAUGCAUUCAUUGGAAUCUAAGUUUUUUAAAAUAUAAUUUUAUUUAGUAAAAUAAAAUAACUCUGAGACUUCCCCUCCUUGGAAUUACACCUGUGCUUGUUCCCUGGGAAAUGCUGCCCUUCCUGGCUGUGGAUGGAUCCAAAACCUGCUGUGGUUUCCUAUGCUGUGUCCUGGAGCACCUGGAGCACCAUAACACUGAGCAACUCUUUUACAGAGAAGGUGAACCUGUGAAACAUCUGUGUCCUCAGGUGAAUCAGGACACCAAGUGUACAGGGGAAGCCUCCAGACAAAACAGUGACAUGAGGAGUGAACAAACCUAUUUUCAUAGCAGGCCACUCUACAGGAGUUUUGAAUAUGGAAGCACCUUCUGGUAAUGCAGGAUGCUCAGUGUGUAUCAGCACAAGCUUACCAGGACUUUGCAGAUCAGCGGUAACUUACUGGGGCCCACUUGACAUUCCUCUAGGUUUCAGAAAUGAUUGCUAAUAUUGGCAGAAAUUGCAGCCAGAGUUUACAGAAAAUAAUAAAUAAUGUGCCCGUGAAUGUAAUUGCA